GUCUCCUGAUGUCUUGAUUACUAUCUGUAACAAUUACUGCACAAUGGAAAAUUUUCACCGAGUUCCACUAAAUUGGAAUUAAUGAGACUAAAUAAUUAUACAUGCUAGCUUUAUAGGUUUCGACUAAUUUGAUGAUAUGGAGAUUAUUUGAUCUCUAUAACCAUUGAAGCAAAGCUGCCAACAGAAAGCUUAUCCAAUGCAAAACUUAUGCACAUUGCUUCGUUCUUCAGAUCUUUCUUUCAUCCAUCCUUUUUUUUUUUUUAAGGCCAUCGUUCCCUGAAUCACAUUAAAUGAGAAUAUUACAACACCCUCCCCUAAAUACACAGGUUGACCUAUGACAAUAUCCCAAUCCCAGAAUCUAAAAGAAUAGCUGUACAAAGAAACAAUUUUACAUGGCAAACGUAAUCAAGACAAUAGGUAACAGUGUAAAAACUUUAAUAUCCUAGGGAGGACAUUGUUAUUCAUCGCAUUGAGAAGUGCCAUCCUUUGAGACUGAAUGGCCCUGCCUAUUAUUAAGGAUAUGAAUAUAUGUACGGAGUCUAUAUCGAUCUGAGUUUGUGAGAGAAAAUGGAGGAUUGAAAAUGAGGGAUGGUGCUUCCGCAAGAAGGAAGACAAACAAGCGUACUGCUUUUGAAUAUAAGAAAGAUGCACUUUCCAUUUCACGCAUGAGCUCCGCAACCUGCCAAAUCAUGAAUAAAACAAUUUUAAAAGGACAAGGCCUGGUUUAUUUUAUUUGAAAAUUCUCUAGUCAAUUUGCAUUGUCCAGAAUCGCUCAUAGUCACUUGGUCAGCAUAAAAAUCAGUGUCCAACUUCAUACCAUAUCUCUAUGAAACUUCAGAGCAUAAUUUACUUCCCCCAAAGAAAAAGUUAUUGGUUUAUCGAAUCAAAUAUUGAUAAUAAAGGGUGACCCAGGCACAAAGCAUCCGACACUUGUCAAAAUAUCAAUAAUAAUUCUUCCAAAUUUGAUGCUUAGCAGAUGGCAGAAAAAUGAGUUCAAAAAUGAUAACUGAUCCAAUCACCUAUGUCCAUAAGCUAUGAUACACGUCAAAUGAGUAUCUAUUAGCACUUAAGACAAAAGAGACUGAUGCUAUUGCAUGUUAACUCAUGUUCCUUGUUUCUGAAGAAUUUUCCUAUUCACCACACAAUGCAAGCUCAUGCAAGGCUUGAGCAAGUCUGAACUGUAGCCUCUACUUAUGAAUUUCCACAUUGCAGUGUUUAUGAGCCUAGCUAACUAGUGACCUAUGAUCCUGAAAUUUGACUUCACAAUUCGACAAUUUCUUCACAUGCUACUCUAGUAUUGGAUUAGUGCCUUGUCAAUUAGUUAGUGACUUAGUGUACAGAUAGAAUGCAUCCUAUAAAUAUAUUAACACGGGUACUCAAUGUAAAUGAUAAAAAGGAAGUUAAUUGUUCAAAUACAACUAAAUUAAAAUUUAUAUACUCACUCCUCCAAGUUUUCCCAGAGCAAGGGCAGAUUGAAAUAUUGUCUCCAUGGCAUCAGGCAUCUCGAUAUUUCCAGGUUCAAUAGCCUUGGCGAGUUCCUCAGCAUGUUCAACUUCCCUUAAAAACUCCCUCUCAAUCUGAGUGGAGAUAUUCUCUGGCCCAACAUCAGCACCGUCUUCUGUAUCAGGAGUCCCAUGUUUCUUGUCGCUGCUUCGCCUCAACCUUGGGCUCUCUUGGCUUGGACUUCCUUCAAUAGCUGAGGCGGCCUCUGUGUGGCAAAUAUGAAGUGCUUGCUUCCAAAUUGCAAGAAUAACAAGUUGUAUCGAGAAUGCUUCCAGUUGCCUACCUACCUCCAUCUUUUCACGUACUAAUUCAGAGAUGGCAGAUGCACACUGCUGCAAUGACUUAAUCCUACUCAUACAAUGAGUUGAUGGCUGCUCCAAAACAUCUCCAAUAUCCGUGGAUCCUUGAGAAGUCCCAGGAGCAGAGCCUGGGUCCUCCAAGCUUCCAAUGUGGCUGUUAGCAGUGCCAAUUAUUGGCAUGGAGACAAUAUUUAAAUUGCCUGAUGAUUCAGGAGGACUUGGUGAUUUGUGUGGUACAUGGCUAGGUUUGGAAGUACUUCCAGAAGAAGAAGACACAUCCAAAGGGGGACCAGAAACAAGAACAUAAUCUUGAUCUAUCAACUCCAAUGAAUCCACAGCUCUUGAUUGUAAAUUCAUAGACAUUUGGUUCAUGGAUUUUGGAGCUUCAUGUAGAUAUUCAUUGGAAAAUUUAUUAAUGUCAGGCUUAAAACUAGUAAAUUCCAAGUUAUGACUAGAAUGUCUGGGAGUAAAAUCCUUGUUAUUCAAAGCAUUAGAUUUUGCUUCCUUUCCAUCAACUUGUGUAUCAAGAGAAAAUCCAUAGGUGGACUUCAUUGAAGGCUUCCUCUUAGAAAAGGAAGGGCUACCCUCAGGACCACUAGAAUCAUCGUCCAGGAGGAAAGGCAGAUAAUCCUCUUGAGAAAUGUCCUCUGUGUUCCUUGCAGAAUUGCUUUCAGACAAUGGAACACUGUCAACUGAUCUUAAAAAUGUCCUAUUCCCCAAAGAUUGAUCUAUUUUCCUCUGAGAAAGGAAUGGGUGAUUAAAAAACUCCUCAAAUGUUAACCGUUCGACUGCAUAUAAAAAAAUAAAGAAAGAUUAACGAAAAUGGGAUGACAUUUUAAAUAAGUAUUAGUAAGAAAUUUGAUUCAGAGAUAAAAAUGAACAUAACUCUCUGAUAUUAUCCCUUGCACAUCGGUCUGCAACUUGGCAUAUGCCUUACCUUUGCAUCAUAUUUCUGGAUUACGACGCAACAAUUUCUGGCACAAAUCUUUGCAGUCAGCACUCAAAUCCUUAAUAUCUGAAGGAAAUUGCAAUUCAGUUGACUUCAUAAUGUUUUGCAGCAACUCUAUUUGAUUGUUUCCAGUAAAUGGGGUUUUUCCUGUCACAAGCUGAAAUAAAAUGGCACCAACACUCCAGAGAUCUGCCUUAGCGUCAUACUUCUGAAGCUGCAUUAUCUCAGGAGCCAUGUAAAGGGGUGAACCACACAAGGUUUCUGCAAGGCCUCUAGGUUGCAGAGAUCUAGCAACAAAGCAUGAUAUUCAAAAUUUGAAAUACAAGUUAAAAAAAAUUCAGACAACCAACAUUGUGAGGAAAGGGUAAAUUAUUAAAUAAUGCCUGAGAUUUGGUCAACAUACUUUUGUCCUUGCUAUUUCAAAAAUUACUUUUGCCCCUAAAAUUUGUUAAUGGAUCUACACUUGAGUCUUGAUGCAACACAUUAGUCCCUCAAAAUCUUCUAAUCCCACAGGCAAUAGUAGUAGAAGGAUUCAAAUAACUAAUUUUGAAAUAAUAGGUACAAAAUUGUACAUAUGCCAGACCUUAGAGGAUUUGUAGUAAUUUAUCCUAUGGAAAAUCAGUAACAGCCAAAUAUCUACUAAAAAAUUUUAAAUAUUGAAAGGAAGAAGCAUGGUAAUAAAAGAAAAGUUUGGAACGAUAGAAACUACCAAUUUUUUUUAAUUAACAGUUAAAUAGAGAUUAACACCUCAACUAAAAUUCGGAGAAGGGAGAACAGCAAAUUCAGAAAAUAUAAUAGAAAACACUGCCUAAUAAGUAUGAAAUAUUUUCAAUAAGCAUAUUAAUUAAGUCAUGACAAAUAAACAGUCCAACAUGACAGCUCACUUAUUACAACCCCAACCAUCCCCACUCCCCGCCCUUUCUCACAUUCACACCUGUUAGAAUCAGCAGAAGUUAAUACUUCCUGAAUAACAGCUAUAAUCAACCUUACUCUAACAUAUUGAAGAGUUAUGACAAUUAUCAUACCCUUUGAAAUUGGAGGCCUUCAAUCAUUUAAGAUAAAGAGUACUUUUUAUACUAAUAAUUACUAAGAGCUUACAAGUAUAUUUUAACACUCUAAAAUUAUGAAGUAGAACUCAUCAUGUUACUGGGGAGGAAAAGAGCUUAAUAUAAGGUAAUUUAGUCGUGUGGGACAGUGUGCGAUGCAUAUAGAAAUACAGGAGGGCAGUGAAGUAAGUAUCACCCGAUUCCCUUAAAAAGCUGAUCACGAGCAAGAAGUAAAAAAUAAUAAACAGAAAAAAGUGUAAGGAAAAGCUUUUGAAGAUGGUUUAUUAGGAUAAGUUACCUAGCAAAUCCAAAAUCAGCAAUUUUUAGGACUGCAUUGCUGUCAUUGGUAGAAAGGAGGAGAUUCUGUAACAAAAAUUAGUACGCAAAAUAAAUGGAAUAUAUCAAAUACUGAACCUCUCUGCAUGGACAAGAUUAGUAGACACCUAACAAUAUCUUCUAGUAUUUCUAAGCUAACUUCCUACAGUAUAUGCCAAAAUACCUUUACUUCACAGAUUUUACGACUCAUUAGCUCUAUAAUCUUGUGAAGAAAUACUAUAAUGCUAUACCUUCCCCACAUUAAACUUGUAAUUGGUGCAUCACAAUUAGCCAGCACAAUCAAAUAGAAACUACAAUUUCUGCAUGGAGUAUCUUCUUGCCAACAUACAAAUAUGUAGCCAAGACUUCAAAUUCAAAUGGGAACAUAAACAAAUUAGAAUCAGGCAAUCAGCCAAACCUGCGGUUUUAGAUCCCGAUGUAUAAGAUUAUUGUCCCGAAGUAUUUUUAGACCAUCCGCUAGUUGCUGCAUGAAGUGCUUAGCAAUUGCUUCAGGGACUCGCCCAUGUCUUUGAAUAUACAUAUAUAGAUCACCCCCUUUGCAAUACUCCAACACAAUAUGCAUUCUCCCUGGCACCUGAAUAAUAUCGUGCAAGCAAAUAAUAUUCGGAUGGUUAAUCCUCUUCAAGAUAAAGAUCUCAGACAUGAGACUAUCCUGCAAUUUCUUAUUGAGCCGACUCGUAGCGAUCUCCUUUAUAGCCACCUCGGUGCCAUGAACCCGGUGCCUAGCGUGCCACACCACCGAGAAAGAACCCGACCCGAUUUGCCUACCUACCUGGUAGUCCCCAACGACUCUACUCCUUCCUGGCGCUUGAGCCAUAGUUGAGAAGAAAUCAGUAAAACCCUAGGAUCCGAACCCGAAACCAGCUGAAUUCAAGGUUGAAGACGAGCU
RNAcentral lists this unclassified non-coding RNA (5022 nucleotides) under Hevea brasiliensis (rubber tree). Lineage: Eukaryota; Viridiplantae; Streptophyta; Magnoliopsida; Malpighiales; Euphorbiaceae. The record is from RNAcentral.